This 2611-nucleotide long non-coding RNA is filed under the name Malus domestica (apple). RNAcentral describes it as "long non-coding RNA (MDOM_LNC006156)". Lineage: Eukaryota; Viridiplantae; Streptophyta; Magnoliopsida; Rosales; Rosaceae. The record is from RNAcentral.
UAGAUUACUACUGCUAAACAUAGAAGCCCCAUGAUUCUUUUGCUUCAUCAGAAGGUGACAUCUGUCACUUACUUGGUGUACUUGCAGGGGUUGCAGGUGCAGCUAUCCCCGCACUUGCAUCCAUUCUCAGCUGCAACUCCCAUCUCAGAUGCCUCAAAGUGCGACUUCUGGGGAGCAACUCCUAUGACAAGGGUCUUAGUGGUGGACCCCUCCAUAUAGUUCAGAUCAGGAGCUAUCCCGCACCCGUUGCAGCCACUGCCGUAGCUGCAGCCGGACUAACAACCACAUUUACCACCGCAGCACGACGAUAUUUUUGGAAUUGGAGAUAAACAAAUUUAGAAGGGAAUGUUUGAUUAAAUUGAUGACAAUAAAGCAAAUGACCACAACUCUGUUUUUGAAUCGAAGAACUGUGGUUUUUCGUCACCCUUGCUCUUCAAGGAACUCAUCACACCUGCGAACCAAUCGCCAUUUUUUGGUUUUCUCAAAUAGGUCAUAAGCUCGAGUCUCCCAUUCGUAAGCUCGGGCCGCCUCAAUCAAAUUGGAAGCAGUAGCAAUUGGGUUAUGAGCUCCAAACUCUGACGUAUCCAUUGGUUGAGGCAAAUCUGAGACGGGAUCUUCGACUCUGUAAAUGAAGCGGCGCUGGUUUUAUUUCCCACUCGAAAGCGCCUUUAGUCUACCUUGAUGAGGAUGGUGUCGCCAUAGAUAAGCUGUAGCUUUUCCAUGGUUUCGGGAUUCAUUGCAACGACGGAGUUAUCGUCGUUUACAGCCUCAUCAACGACGAGACAGUUCGUCGACUUCUUCUGCCCCAGAAUUACCGUCCACAAGUCUUCAUUCUUCUAGUCAAACGAUUUGGCUUGGUGAGCCAUGGCAGUGGAUCAUUUCAGAGAUUAGGAACUGUGGUAAACGAAGAACAGAAAGAGGAGAGAGAGAAUAAGUGUUUGGAAUGUGUUAGCAGGUCUGGGUCCUUAUCUCCCCUAAAUAUCCGGGUCCUCCUCUGCCAUUCUGUAGGUGUUUGGUUUCUUGGAUUUUGCAGAUUCUUCGGUGGACAGUGGUGAAAUUUGAUGAAAAAAAUGAAAGAGAACCGACAUAGUUUUUUGUGUUGAUUCCCACAGACGGCGCCAAAUGUUGAUGCACAAAACCGAAGGUCUUAGAACAACGUAAAUCCGACCAUGAAUCUGCAAGAAAUGUAAAUAACACAAGAUGUAUCGUGGUUCACCCAAGGUUUGGGCUACGUCUGCAGUGAAUUGUAUUUCUCUGAGAGUAUUGUGAAGGAUAGGGAGCUCUGAAUGAGAGUCAGAGUUUUGAGAGGAUGAAGGGUUAGGCCUAAGAAUUGGCCUAUCUAAUUGUGAGGGUGAGGGGUCCUUUUAUAGAAUAAGGGAUCUUCACUUAUUACAUAUUUGGCCCUUCCUUUAUUACAUAAUUACAUUUAAGUCCCCCGAGUAUUUAUACGAGGUCUAAAUACGGAGGCCCUAAGUAUGGUACAAACAUAGAUGUCCCUAGCUUCAUUUUGGUAUAAAUUACACGAAAAAUAGUGAAGAAAUGAGCGAGAUUAAGGAGUUUCAAAAAUUGCCCAGUUUCCGACGUUAGCGACAGUUGUCGGAGCUGGAGAUAGGAGAUGGAAGAAUAUUCCAUCAAAUCUGACGGAAUAUUCUCACGGCAUUAGUUAGUUUGGACAGUUUCCGUUGUGUUUUAACAAAAUAUUCCGAGGAAUAUUCCUAACUGUUUGGGAAUCCAUCAGGAUUCCCUGCGCAUGGUGGCGCGUAUUACCGUGCCUUGGCCGACGCGUGCGGGGUCAGAAAAUUAUUUUGAAAAUGGGGAUGAUCCUAAGGUUGUGUAGGUCACUGUGGUAUAUUCAUAUACCCAAUUUGAGUAACGUAUGAGAAGUUAUUAGCUAGUUUUGUCUAUGUGCUUUAAAAUAACGUUUUUAUAGUUAAUUCGCAUAUAGGUGAGACCUAUCCCGAGGGCGAGCGUAUCCACGGACGACUCGGGGGCUACGACCCUUCGACAUACCAGUGAGUGGGCUUUUGUUUUUAGUAUAUAUUUAUAUACUUGAUAUAUUUCCCAAAAAUGCAUUUUAAGGAAAGUAUGUUUUGAAAUAAUAUGUCAUAUGCGUUUAUAUUCUGAAUAUGCAUUUCAUGGUUGCAUAUAUAUAUAUAUAUAUAUAUAUAUAUAUAUAUAAAUGUGGUGCUGUGGAGGCACAUGUAAGUUCAGGUAAAUUAUGUUUGGCUAUGUGAAUCAUCGAUGAUGUGAUAUGUGAAAUGAUGUUGAGCUCAUAAAACUGCACCUAGGGUGAUUGAGAUUUAGCCAGAGAUAUAAAGUACAGGCCUGUUUAUGUACGUCACCUCCCGCACUAUAUGCUCAUAUUGGAUCCAAUUUAAGUGCACAGUCUUGUCGUACAGACCUUAUUCAUGGUUCCAACUCGUAGGUGACUAGCGAUUAUCGCCCGGCUAUUAUGAGAGAAUAGAGUUGAGCAUAAUUAUAUUUCACCCAAUCUUGUCGUACACAUAGAUUACUACUGCUAAACAUAAAAGCCCCAUGAUUCUCUUGCUUCGUCAGAAGGUGACAUCUGUCACUCACUUGGUGCACUUGCAGGGGUUGCAGGUGCAGCUAU